This 548-nucleotide ribosomal RNA is filed under the name uncultured Glomus. RNAcentral's name for it is "SSU rRNA". It matches the Rfam family "Eukaryotic small subunit ribosomal RNA", at positions 550 to 1109 of the family's 1831-position model. The record is from RNAcentral. Lineage: Eukaryota; Fungi; Glomeromycota; Glomeromycetes; Glomerales; Glomeraceae.
UUGGCGGGCAAGWCUGGUGCCAGCAGCCGCGGUAAUUCCAGCUCCAAUAGCGUAUAUUAAAGUUGUUGCAGUUAAAAAGCUCGUAGUUGAAUUUCGGGAUCAGACUGUCGGUCGUGCCCCGGUACGCACUGGCAUUAUUGGUUCCUACCUUCUGAAGAACCGCGAUGUCAUUAAUUUGGUGUCGUGGGGAAUCAGGACUGUUACUUUGAAAAAAUUAGAGUGUUUAAAGCAGGCGCACGCUUGAAUACAUUAGCAUGGAAUAAUGAAAUAGGACGUUUGAUUCUAUUUUGUUGGUUUCUAGGAUCGACGUAAUGAUUAAUAGGGAUAGUUGGGGGCAUUAGUAUUCAAUUGUCAGAGGUGAAAUUCUUGGAUUUAUUGAAGACUAACUACUGCGAAAGCAUUUGCCAAGGAUGUUUUCAUUAAUCAAGAACGAAAGUUAGGGGAUCGAAGACGAUCAGAUACCGUCGUAGUCUUAACCAUAAACUAUGCCGACUAGGGAUCGGAUGAUGUUAAUUUUAUAAUGACUCAUUCGGCGCCUUACGGGAAAC